GACGAACGCUGGCGGCGUGCUUAACACAUGCAAGUCGAACGCUGAAGCUCGGCUUUUGUUGGGUGGAUGAGUGGCGAACGGGUGAGUAACACGUGAGUAACCUGCCUCCUUCUUUGGGAUAACGCCCGGAAACGGGUGCUAAUACUGGAUAUUCACUGGUCUUCGCAUGGGGGUUGGUGGAAAGGGUUUUUCUGGUGGGGGAUGGGCUCGCGGCCUAUCAGCUUGUUGGUGGGGUGAUGGCCUACCAAGGCUUUGACGGGUAGCCGGCCUGAGAGGGUGACCGGUCACAUUGGGACUGAGAUACGGCCCAGACUCCUACGGGAGGCAGCAGUGGGGAAUAUUGCACAAUGGGCGCAAGCCUGAUGCAGCGACGCCGCGUGAGGGAUGGAGGCCUUCGGGUUGUGAACCUCUUUCGCUCAUGGUCAAGCCGCAACAAUGGUUGUGGUGAGGGUAGUGGGUAAAGAAGCGCCGGCUAACUACGUG
RNAcentral lists this ribosomal RNA (483 nucleotides) under uncultured bacterium. RNAcentral's name for it is "partial 16S ribosomal RNA". It matches the Rfam family "Bacterial small subunit ribosomal RNA", at positions 28 to 507 of the family's 1533-position model. The record is from RNAcentral.